CCCUAGUAACUGCGAGUGAAGCGGGAAAAGCUCAAAUUUAAAAUCUGGCGGUCUUUGGCCGUCCGAGUUGUAGUCUGGAGAAGUGCUUUCCGCGCUGGACCGUGUAUAAGUCUCUUGGAACAGAGCGUCAUAGAGGGUGAGAAUCCCGUCUUUGACACGGACUACCAGUGCUUUGUGAUGCGCUCUCAAAGAGUCGAGUUGUUUGGGAAUGCAGCUCAAAAUGGGUGGUGAAUUCCAUCUAAAGCUAAAUAUUGGCGAGAGACCGAUAGCGAACAAGUACCGUGAGGGAAAGAUGAAAAGCACUUUGGAAAGAGAGUUAAACAGUACGUGAAAUUGCUGAAAGGGAAACGCUUGAAGUCAGUCGCGUUGUCUGGGACUCAGCCUUGCUUUUGCUUGGUGCACUUUCCGGAUGACGGGCCAGCAUCGAUUUUGACCGUCGGAAAAGGGCUAGGGUAAUGUGGCACCUCCGGGUGUGUUAUAGACUUUAGUCGCAUACGGCGGUCGGGAUCGAGGAACGCAGCGCGCCGUAAGGCAGGGGUUCGCCCACUUUCGUGCUUAGGAUGCUGGCGUAAUGGCUUUAAACGACCCGUCUUGAAACACGGACCAAGGAGUCUAACAUACCUGCGAGUGUUUGGGUGGAAAACCCGAGCGCGUAAUGAAAGUGAAAGUUGAGACCUCUGUCGUGGAGGGCAUCGACGCCCGGACCUGACGUUCUCUGACGGAUCCGCGGUAGAGCAUGUAUGUUGGGACCCGAAAGAUGGUGAACUAUGCCUGAAUAGGGUGAAGCCAGAGGAAACUCUGGUGGAGGCUCGUAGCGAUUCUGACGUGCAAAUCGAUCGUCAAAUUUGGGUAUAGGGGCGAAAGACUAAUCG
RNAcentral lists this ribosomal RNA (872 nucleotides) under Sanguinoderma microsporum. RNAcentral's name for it is "Polyporaceae sp. YFS-2021e partial large subunit ribosomal RNA". It matches the Rfam family "Eukaryotic large subunit ribosomal RNA", at positions 78 to 937 of the family's 3401-position model. Lineage: Eukaryota; Fungi; Basidiomycota; Agaricomycetes; Polyporales; Polyporaceae. The record is from RNAcentral.